UUCCCCUAGUAACUGCGAGUGAAGCGGGAAAAGCUCAAAUUUAAAAUCUGGUGGUCUUUGGCCAUUCGAGUUGUAAUUUAGAGAAGCGUCUUCCGCGCUGGACCGUGCACAAGUCUCCUGGAAUGGAGCGUCAUAGAGGGUGAGAAUCCCGUCUUUGGCACGGACACACCAGGGCUUUUGUGAUGCGCUCUCGAAGAGUCGAGUUGUUUGGGAAUGCAGCUCAAAAUGGGUGGUGAACUCCAUCUAAAGCUAAAUAUUGGCGAGAGACCGAUAGCGAACAAGUACCGUGAGGGAAAGAUGAAAAGCACUUUGGAAAGAGAGUGAAACAGUACGUGAAAUUGUUGAAAGGGAAACGCUUGAAGUCAGUCACGUCGACCGAGACUCAGCCUUGCCUUGGCUUGGUGUACUUCUCGGCUGACGGGUCAGCAUCAAUUUUGCCCCUUGGAUAAUGGCGAGGGAAAUGUGACACCUUUACGGUGUGUUAUAGUCUCUCGUCGCAUGCAAGGGUUGGGAUUGAGGAACUCAGCACGCGCCUUUGGGUGUCGGGGCUUUGCCCACGAUACGUGCUUAGGAUGUUGGCGUAAUGGCUUUAAACGACCCGUCUUGAAACACGGACCAAGGAGUCUAACAUGCCUGCGAGUGUUCGGGUGGAAAACCCGUGCGCGCAAUGAAAGUGAAAGUUGGGACCUCUGUCGUGGAGGGCACCGACGCCCGGACCAGACCUUCUGUGACGGCUCUGCGGUGAAGCAUGCAUGUUAGGACCCGAAAGAUGGUGAACUAUGCCUGAAUAGGGUGAAGCCAGAGGAAACUCUGGUGGAGGCUCGUAGCGAUUCUGACGUGCAAAUCGAUCGUCAAAUUUGGGUAUAGGGGCGAAAGACUAAUCGAACCAUCUAGUAGCUGGUUCCUG
This 907-nucleotide ribosomal RNA is filed under the name Russula nitida. Its description in RNAcentral is "LSU rRNA". It matches the Rfam family "Eukaryotic large subunit ribosomal RNA", at positions 75 to 960 of the family's 3401-position model. The record is from RNAcentral. Lineage: Eukaryota; Fungi; Basidiomycota; Agaricomycetes; Russulales; Russulaceae.